RNAcentral lists this ribosomal RNA (130 nucleotides) under rice phyllosphere bacterium I. RNAcentral describes it as "partial 23S ribosomal RNA". It matches the Rfam family "Bacterial large subunit ribosomal RNA", at positions 1 to 131 of the family's 2925-position model. The record is from RNAcentral.
GUUAAGUUAGAAAGGGCGCACGGUGGAUGCCUUGACACUAGGAGUCGAUGAAGGACGGGACUAACGCCGAUAUGCUUCGGGGAGCUGUAAGUAAGCUUUGAUCCGAAGAUUUCCGAAUGGGGAAACCCGG